CCUUUUCUCUGUCCGGUAGGUAGUGAGAGCUGAGUGCGAGCCUGGUGCCGCCGCUGGAGGUUCAGGCCCCAUCUCCUCUCCAAUCUAGUGUCAUCCCCAUGGCGGCAGGACAAAGACCACAAGGUUCCCAAGUGCAAAUAAAAAAGGCACCACAAGGAGGCUAGGACAGAGGUCUGCGUACCUACCACCAAGCCCCAUCAGUGCUUCCGACCUUGAACUAAAGCACCCUUCUGCACCUUCCCACAGAGGUCAACAAGCCCUCCCCAGCAGGCUCAGGGUGGGCAGGGCUCCAGGAGUGAGGGGACUCACUACCCACCUUGAGUGGCCAGCUUGAAUUCACUAUCGAAACUCCGGGUUGUGAACAGCCGCUCCAGGAAGGUAUUGAGCAGACGCUGGUCAAACUCAUUGUCCACGCGGCCACCAUAGAUGGACUGGGCCAUCAAGGUCUUGAGGGCAGACCAUGGGAUCUUAUCCGAGGUGCUACACUGUCCAGCUCUGGUGUAGCCUACUUGCCUUGGCUGUGUCAUCCAGCCACGUGUCCACUGUGUCACAGGCUGACCGAAGGUCAGACUCUCCGAAUUCGUACUUCUUUGACCACCCCAGCGGAGCAUAGCGCAGGCGCUCUUGGAUGAUGGCAUGGAACCAAGCCAGCAGGAAAUACAAGCGGGCACGCUCAUUCGGAGACUAGAGGAGGAAAAUGACCAAGGACAGAAUCGUCACAGAGCAUCAUGUGUUUGUCUAAGGAAACUAGACACCCUCACACUUCGGUCACCUGGACUGCAGCACCACAGUCACACGGCACAGAUGACGGCAGAAAGUACCCAGUUUGUAAAGACCAGGACAGACACACGGCACCUGAACUCAGACAGGUGUCUAGAAACAGGCUUUCUACAAGUGGACUCCAACAGUGGAUUCUGGCACCAAGCAGAACAGAACUGACAGGGGUCCUUGCUGAAGUAGCUGUCCUCAUGUGGAACAGGGGCAGUGAGUGGCUUCAGGGGCUGUGCCUACUCUGCCCUCUGGAGUGGACUCUGGGUCACAGCACUGGGGGUGCAGCUGCUCCCCCGAGACCUACUCCUCCCUUGCCUGCCCCUGUGCACGGAACGCAGCUGGUCUUGGGUUUAUGUACAGGGGUAUCCGGGGGGUGCGCUCUUUACCUUGCAUAUCCGAGAGACGGGGAUGCUACUGAAUGUCCUCAGCAUGUUGGCCUUCACCCCAGGUGGUGGCUCAAACACAAAGAUUCGGCCUGCCCGGAGCAGGUUUACUGGCACCUAAGGGGAAGGUAGCCUCUGUGAUGUCUGCUUUUAUUUUGGCGCGACAAGGUGUGGCUAACCUCAAGUUCUCGGCAAUCCUCCUGCCCAGCAUCCCAAGUUCUGGGUUGCAGACAUGUGCCACCACACCCAGUUGACCCUCUGGUUUCGAUGCAGCCAGUUCCUUGACUGUGCACACCAUUUCCACAGGAGGCACCAGCACCCAGAGCUCCCACACCUUUUGCUCACCUUGGGGUUGAUCUCCAUGGUGAGGAAAAGUCGGAAGCAGGCAUGGGGCUGCAGGGAGUGCAGCUUCUUCUCCAGCUGCAUUAGCCACCCUGGGGCCAGAUGCACGUUCUUCAGCAUCACCCACCUGCACACACAUACACACAGUCACAGUGACUUGAUGGCUUUCCCAGGGAUCCUGGGGACACACGGGAUUUUAAGACCAAACCAACUGCACCCACCUGCCUGACUUCACAGCAGUGUUGAUUGCCUUAUCUGCUUGGUUAAAGCCUUCGGCUGAGCCUGAGACAUGGAAACUUAGUGUGAACGGCAGCCUUAUGCUUCAAGGCUGCACAUGUCCACGAACCAGCAAGUGUCCUUACCAAUGGCAAUAGAAGUGAUCUGUGUGUUCUGCUCAGCUGCCAGGUCCUCAACAUGCCCACUGGCAUCAUACCCAGGCACAGAGCACAUCAGGACAGGUGUGUUUGGCUUCACCUGUAAAUGAAAAGACGAUCAGCUGCAAGACAGGACCUGUCAAGAGAAGGCCUGAGGGCGGCGCUGCCUUUGGAAGACUGCAGCCAACAAGCUGCUGGUGCGAGGGCAAAUCGGGGCUGGGGAGCCGGGAUGGGGCACCGGGACAUUACCUCUGUGCCCACAAUGUGGGUGAGGUCCAGUGGCUGCUCCAUGAUGGACAUGAAGGACUCCCCAAGGUUUGUGGAAACAAACAUGUGGGCCAUGGCCAGCAGGCGGUCGGGUCGGAAAGCCUGAAUCAGCAGGAGGCGGUGGAUGGCCUGCCCGAUGGGAGCUGCAGGGAGGCGUGACAAGGUGGGUGAAGGCACAGGCCUGGAGUCUCACUCCUGACUUCCCCAUCCAGGGAACCGGCUUGGCCAAACCUUCAGCCCCUGAGACUCCGCUCCAACUCGUCCACAAAGCACACACCCUACUGGCUCUCUUGGGCCCAAGGGGCAUCUGCCCUCUCGUCUACGACCACUUCAGCUGCCCAGCGAGGAGACUGUAACACCAGGCGUGGGGUACUGAUCAGGAGCCAUGGGUUGAUAUUACUGCCUUCAGAGACUAUUCCCAGCUAACCUUGAACUCACGAUCCUCCUGCCUUUUCCUCCAUGGUGCUGGGAUUACAGGUGUGUGGCUGCCACACCUGGCUCUUUGUUGACUAUGUGUGGUGGCCUGUAUGUGGGAGCGUGUGCACUCACAUGGCAUGGCAUGUGUGUGGAGGGCAGAGGUCAGCUUCACGUUUUAGUCCUCUUCACCCUGAGACAGGAUAUCUGUCUCUUUACCGGCAUGGGACCAAGGCUAGCAGGCCUGUGAACCUCUGUUGAUCUCUCUCUGCCUCCCAUCUCCUCACAGGGCUGUGCUGGGGUCACAGAUGCUUGCACUACUGUCUGUAGGUUUUGGGGAUUGAAAUUCAGGUUGCCUGUCUUGUAUGGCAAACACUUUUACCCACUAAACCAUCCAUCUCCAUAGCCCCUCAUCUGUUGCAUUAAUUUUUUUUUUUUUUUGAGACAGGAUCUCACUAUAUGGUCCUGCGUAGCCUUGAACUCAUAGUAGAUUAGGCUAGCCUUGAACUCUGAGAUCUACAUGCCUCUGCCUCCUCAGUGCUGGUAUUAAAGGCAUGUAGUAUAAUG
Molecule: long non-coding RNA, 3118 nt
Organism: Peromyscus eremicus (cactus mouse)
Lineage: Eukaryota; Metazoa; Chordata; Mammalia; Rodentia; Cricetidae
Exons: 4
Source: RefSeq, a predicted model, not a curated record